Molecule: ribosomal RNA, 436 nt
Filed under: uncultured bacterium
Lineage: Bacteria
Description: bacterial SSU rRNA
Rfam family: Bacterial small subunit ribosomal RNA
Source: RNAcentral
AUGGGAACGCGAAGAACCUUACCUAGACUUGACAUCUCCUGAAUAGUGUAGAGAUACAUGAAGCCCUUCGGGGCAGGAAGACAGGUGGUGCAUGGUUGUCGUCAGCUCGUGUCGUGAGAUGUUGGGUUAAGUCCCGCAACGAGCGCAACCCUUAUUACUAGUUGCUACCAUUAAGUUGAGCACUCUAGUUAGACUGCCCGGGUUAACCGGGAGGAAGGCGGGGAUGACGUCAAAUCAUCAUGCCCCUUAUGUCUAGGGCAACACACGUGCUACAAUGGUGAGUACAGAUAGAUGCGAUACCGCAAGGUGGAGCCAAACUCUAAAACUCAUCCCAGUUCGGAUUGUAGGCUGCAACUCGCCUACAUGAAGUUGGAGUUGCUAGUAAUCGCGAAUCAGAAUGUCGCGGUGAAUACGUUCCCGGGUCUUGUACACACCG